GCAAGUCGAACGCCCCUUCGGGGGAGUGGCAGACGGGUGAGUAACGCGUGGGAACCUACCCUGUGGUACGGAAUAACCGAGGGAAACUUCGGCUAAUACCGUAUACGCCCUUCGGGGGAAAGAUUUAUCGCCAUAGGAUGGGCCCGCGUCGGAUUAGCUAGUUGGUGGGGUAAUGGCCUACCAAGGCGACGAUGCGUAGCUGGUCUGAGAGGAUGAUC
Molecule: ribosomal RNA, 218 nt
Filed under: uncultured bacterium
Lineage: Bacteria
Description: partial 16S ribosomal RNA
Rfam family: Bacterial small subunit ribosomal RNA
Source: RNAcentral